UCUUUGUGUGAGCACAAAACGCGUCGUCCAUCAUAAUUGUCUGAGCAACCCAUCCUUUUCGAUCAAAGAGUAUUUACAUAAAAUUGUAUGCUCUAAUCUACAAGGCCAAGGCUCAUUCAUAGGUUGGCACCGUGUGAUGGGGUUGACUUACUUAAAUCAUUUUGGAACGCAAAGCGACCAAGAAUAAUUUAAGGACGCAGAUUAAUUGGAUUAAUCAACCAAGAAUUGCAAAAUUGUUGUUGCAAUUGGCUUAGAGGCCUACUAAGUGAUAUUAUUGUAGUCAUCAGCAAAGCAG
Molecule: long non-coding RNA, 295 nt
Filed under: Salvia miltiorrhiza (redroot sage)
Lineage: Eukaryota; Viridiplantae; Streptophyta; Magnoliopsida; Lamiales; Lamiaceae
Description: long non-coding RNA (SMIL_LNC002827)
Source: RNAcentral